This 468-nucleotide ribosomal RNA is filed under the name uncultured bacterium. RNAcentral describes it as "partial 16S ribosomal RNA". It matches the Rfam family "Bacterial small subunit ribosomal RNA", at positions 28 to 507 of the family's 1533-position model. The record is from RNAcentral.
GACGAACGCUGGCGGCGUGCUUAACACAUGCGAGUCGAACGGAAAGGCCCUGCUUUUGUGGGGUGCUCGAGUGGCGAACGGGUGAGUAACACGUGAGUAACCUGCCCUUGACUUUGGGAUAACUUCAGGAAACUGGGGCUAAUACCGGCUAGGAGCUCCUGCUGCAUGGUGGGGGUUGGAAAGUUUCGGCGGUUGGGGAUGGACUCGCGGCUUAUCAGCUUGUUGGUGGGGUAGUGGCUUACCAAGGCUUUGACGGGUAGCCGGCCUGAGAGGGUGACCGGCCACAUUGGGACUGAGAUACGGCCCAGACUCCUACGGGAGGCAGCAGUGGGGAAUAUUGCACAAUGGGCGGAAGCCUGAUGCAGCAACGCCGCGUGCGGGAUGACGGCCUUCGGGUUGUAAACCGCUUUCGCCUGUGACGAAGCGUGAGUGACGGUAAUGGGUAAAGAAGCACCGGCUAAUUACGUG